RNAcentral lists this ribosomal RNA (197 nucleotides) under uncultured bacterium. Its description in RNAcentral is "partial 16S ribosomal RNA". It matches the Rfam family "Bacterial small subunit ribosomal RNA", at positions 335 to 524 of the family's 1533-position model. The record is from RNAcentral.
ACUCCUACGGGAGGCAGCAGUGGGGAAUUUUGGACAAUGGGGGCAACCCUGAUCCAGCCAUUCCGCGUGAGUGAAGAAGGCCUUCGGGUUGUAAAGCUCUUUCGGCAGGAACGAAACGGUGGAGGCUAAUACCUUUCAUCAAUGACGGUACCUGAAGAAGAAGCACCGGCUAACUACGUGCCAGCAGCCGCGGUAAU